This 312-nucleotide unclassified non-coding RNA is filed under the name plant metagenome. RNAcentral describes it as "partial contains 5.8S ribosomal RNA, internal transcribed spacer 2, and large subunit ribosomal RNA". The stretch from base 1 to 105 matches the Rfam family "5.8S ribosomal RNA", at positions 50 to 154 of the family's 154-position model. The record is from RNAcentral.
GAAAUGCGAUAAGUAGUGUGAAUUGCAGAAUUCAGUGAAUCAUCGAAUCUUUGAACGCACAUUGCGCCCCUCGGCAUUCCGGGGGGCAUGCCUGUCCGAGCGUCAUUACGCACCCUCAAGCCCGGCUUGUGUGAUGGGCCCCGGCGUCUCGUUCGCGAGACGGGCCCGAAAGGCAGCGGCGGCGUCGACCCGAUGAGCCCGAGCGUAUGGGGACUUCUGUCACACGUUCGCGGUGCGGACCGGCGCCUGCUUGACUUUUCUGAUUAUCCAGGUUGACCUCGGAUCAGGUAGGGAUACCCGCUGAACUUAAGC